RNAcentral lists this transfer RNA (56 nucleotides) under Planorbis carinatus. Its description in RNAcentral is "tRNA-Ser". The record is from RNAcentral. Lineage: Eukaryota; Metazoa; Mollusca; Gastropoda; Planorbidae.
UUUUGUUUUCGUGAAGAUUUUGAAAAUCAUCCUAGAAAUUAAUAUUUCAGCAAAAA